Molecule: unclassified non-coding RNA, 579 nt
Filed under: Hevea brasiliensis (rubber tree)
Lineage: Eukaryota; Viridiplantae; Streptophyta; Magnoliopsida; Malpighiales; Euphorbiaceae
Source: RNAcentral
CGGGCAUUGAUGCACUAAUUUCAGAAGACGAAGUCCCAGAGAACUUGGUGCUUUCUUUAAGUUCUGCAAAAGGAGGGGAGAAUCGACCUUGAUUCCCUAGUGACUUUGUAGGAGCAAAGGGGCUAUCAGGAAUACCAUGCUCUAUAACAGUCCCACAGCAUUCAUUCGCAUCACAUCCUUCAGGAUAGAUUUUCUCUUCCUCACCAUUGACGGUGUCUUUGCUCUGAAUGCAAGUUGUAUUUACUUGUUGCUGAAGGUUCUGUUCAGCAACAGCAAAAGUAGAGGCAAUGGUGGCAGCUGAGCUAUCACAUUUGCCAUUGAUUAGCCGAUCUUCUAAGAUAUCUUGAUUCUCGACUUCAGAAGUAAGAUUUUGAUUGAUAUCAACAGAAGUAUGAGGGGGCACGGAAAUUGGUGUCCCAGCAGACAGACUUCGCCGGUGAUGAUGAACAUAAUCUCCCCUCAAGUCUGGGAGUUGCAGAUUAAUCAACCUUCUCCCCUGGAGUUCAAUUGUUUGUUGAAGCUCAGCCUGCUGCUCCAGCUUUCUUCUCACCAUCAUCCCCUGUGAAUUGUAGAGCAUUC